GAAGAGGCUCAGAUGGUGUACGGCCAGUGAAGGCAAGAUCUGCUCAGUGACACCGGAUAAGCAAUGUGAUAAAAGGAGGCUGGAGUGGAAAUAUUCUGGCAGCCAGAUUUAGACACCGUGAUGCAAAAGUUCCAUGAUGCCCUGUGGAAGCCAUAGUUAGAGAUGUGUCCUUGCAGAGAAGCAUUCUCAGUGGGAGAGUUGCAGAGAUCCAGCCUUACCCCUAGAACCUUCCAUGUGUUGGAGAACUUCAGUGACAGAUUUACCAGGAGAACACAGAGCUGGAGAGGAGAAAGGAAGACGGGACUUGGUCAGUCACUGAUGCUUCAUCAUUUGGUACAUAAAAGGAGAUGAAACAAACCCCCUCUUUUUAAUUGGAAAGUCAGAACUUCUGGUGGUGUCAAGAUCUGUGGAAAACAUCGUAUUCCACAGGAAUUAAAUCAUAGAACCACAAGUUUGGAAGUGACCUUCAAGGUCAUCUAGUCCAACCGUCCUGCCGUUACCAUUGCUACCACUAAUACUUCAUAGGUCUGUAGACAGUGGAAUUUUAUCCUAACAAAAGCUACAUCUUAAGAGUUUUUAGAGAAAUUUUGCCUUAUCUUUUCCAUUUGUCUACAAUACCUUCCAUAUUUCUGCCUCCUAGGUAAUAUCUCUGUAGAAAAGAAGUACUGUGAACUGCUUUUCAUAAUAUCCUUGCUCUAACAGUCACAUUUCUGUGCAUCACAUGCAGCUUUUACUAAAUCAAGAUGAUAUUUAAGCCUCUUACCAAACAAAAUAUUGCCAAACUACUUUGAGGAAAGGAUUUUCCUACCAAAAAAUGGUGCAGAUUCUCUAAAAAGCAGAACUUACCUCUUCACUUCUCCCUGGCGACAAAACGUUCAGAGAGAGACUUCCUGACACUCCUGCCUUUUGCAGCUGAACAUCUCUUCUGCACACCGAGAAGCAGAGAGAAGUACCUUUGAUCCUCAAUUACAGAGUGUGUGUCCUCCAUACCCCGCCCUGCUUCACUAUUGCUAAAAACUCCUCUGGCCAAAACUGCAUUAUGCAAUAAGGACACCCAUGGUCUGGCUCGGCACCGCACUCUC
This is a long non-coding RNA of Tympanuchus pallidicinctus (lesser prairie-chicken), 1082 nucleotides long. RefSeq lists it as uncharacterized. The transcript is spliced from 4 exons. The record is from RefSeq and is a predicted model, not a curated record. NCBI's taxonomy places the organism in Eukaryota, Metazoa, Chordata, Aves, Galliformes, Phasianidae.